GGGAUUGCCCUAGUAACGGCGAGUGAAGCGGCAACAGCUCAAAUUUGAAAUCUGGCCCUAGGCCCGAGUUGUAAUUUGCAGAGGAUGCUUUUGGUGAGGUGCUUACCGAGUCCCCUGGAAUGGGGCGCCACAGAGGGUGAGAGCCCCGUAUGGUUUGCCACCGAGCCUUUGUAAAGCUCCUUCGACGAGUCGAGUAGUUUGGGAAUGCUGCUCUAAAUGGGAGGUAAAUUUCUUCUAAAGCUAAAUACCGGCCAGAGACCGAUAGCGCACAAGUAGAGUGAUCGAAAGAUGAAAAGCACUUUGAAAAGAGGGUUAAAUAGCACGUGAAAUUGUUGAAAGGGAAGCGCUUGUGACCAGACUUGUGCCGGGCGGAUCAUCCAGCGUUCUCGCUGGUGCACUCCGCCCGGCUCAGGCCAGCAUCGGUUUUCGCCGGGGGACAAAAGCUUCGGGAACGUAGCUCCCUUCGGGGAGUGUUAUAGCCCGUUGCACAAUACCCCGGCGGGGACCGAGGACCGCGCUUCGGCAAGGAUGCUGGCGUAAUGGUCAUCAGCGACCCGUCUUGAAACACGGACCGAGGAGUCAAGCAUUAGUGCGAGUGUUUGGGUGUAAAACCCGCACGCGUAAUGAAAGUGAACGUAGGUGAGAGCUUCGGCGCAUCAUCGACCGAUCCUGAUGUUUUCGGAUGGAUUUGAGUAGGAGCAUUAACGCUUGGACCCGAAAGAUGGUGAACUAUACUUGAAUAGGGUGAAGCCAGAGGAAACUCUGGUGGAGGCUCGCAGCGGUUCUGACGUGCAAAUCGAUCGUCAAAUUUG
RNAcentral lists this ribosomal RNA (812 nucleotides) under Magnaporthaceae sp. RNAcentral describes it as "partial large subunit ribosomal RNA". It matches the Rfam family "Eukaryotic large subunit ribosomal RNA", at positions 71 to 913 of the family's 3401-position model. Lineage: Eukaryota; Fungi; Ascomycota; Sordariomycetes; Magnaporthales; Magnaporthaceae. The record is from RNAcentral.